UAUUCUAAUUGAUUUUAUACCAAGUUCCUGAUGAGCUAGAGACUUGAAGUUUUGAAUAUAGUUUAGAGUUGGAUAAUAAUGCAAGAAAAUAAGGACAAAAUUCAGAAAAAAUCAAGAAGAAUAUAUUGCAAUAAAUCAAAAGACUUUGUCUCAUCUCACAAAAUAUUUACCACGCUAAUUGAUAAAUUAGAGAAUUCGCUUACGCCGAGAUUUCAAGACAUAAUUAAAAUGAAAUUGAGGGUGUGAAGGACAUCAACUAUCUGAUAGGUGAAGAAAUGAGACGAUUCGUUAUAUAAUUAAUAUAAAGAAUGAUGGAUACAUAUAAACAUCUUUCUCCUGCGCACGUUCCCUGUCUACUCGUGAAUGGGCAUGGCAAGGACCAACAGUGGGUAUGAAUGAAAUAAUAAAUAUAAUUGACAGUAGGGCAGCGUGGGUUGCGACAAGCAAGCAACCAGCAGCAGUAACCACAUGGAUUAAGUAGAGGACGGGGUAAGACGAAAACGGCGCACGCCAUGUACGAUCGAGGUCAUCACCUUUCUAUAACUAAAAGCCUGCUUUCGCCCUUUUUAACUUUUUUAUUUUCAUUUAUUUAUUUUUUCGUGUUUGG
Molecule: long non-coding RNA, 607 nt
Organism: Cotesia glomerata
Lineage: Eukaryota; Metazoa; Arthropoda; Insecta; Hymenoptera; Braconidae
Exons: 3
Source: RefSeq, a predicted model, not a curated record